CUAAGUAUGACAAAGAGUUGUUGUUUUAAAGUGUAAUGAGAUUUUUAUCAUUGGCAUGGGCCCAUUGCUGCAGAAGAAGGGCAAAAUUAUUAAUAAUGACAGAAAAGUUCAAUAAAUAUUUCUGGUUUGCAUUUUGAGGGAAGGAGGAGGAUAUACUUGUAUCACUUGAGAAAGACAAAGUACUUCAUGCUGCAGCUGCAAUCAAGAGCAACUCAAAGGAUAACAACAGGAACUCGCUGAAAGCACCCUGGGACAUGGUUGACAUGCUGCUGCUAAUUUUAAUACAUCUCUGAAGACUGAUAAUAUCAUACCAAUAUCCAUCAUGCAGCGUUUUCAGAAGCAAAAAAAGGAGCCCAUGACGUUUCUACAGCUUCCUGAGGAUGUGUUUUAUAGAGAGGAAUGUGGGGAGGGAUGGAGAGCAGACACACAAAUGGACACAUUUACUCCCCAACUCCUCUAACCCGACCCACAGCAUCAAGAACAAGAAAAACAGUAAUAAAAGGAUUAUCAUAGAAAUCUGAGCAUCUUCCAGCAAAGCAUCCCCAAAAUCUGGUUGUCAACAACAAUCCUGCUUUCUAGGAAGGGGAGGAAGAAAUGAGAGUUAUGAUAUAUGGUGAUAGGGCCAAGAUCACACCUUGCUCAUCCCUCCUGCUGUUUAGACAGGUUAAUUUUGAAGGAAUGGCCCAUUGAUUAGCAGUGCUCUUUUGAAACUGUGACAAAUGGCACUAAGAUCGUUUUUUAAUGGCCUAAGAAGUCAGAUAACUUAUCCAUUGGCAAAGGAGAGCCACUGAUGACUUGAAGAGAGUGCAAAUCUCCAGGUUUGGCUCCUGAGCACAGCGAGUAGCACAGUAACACA
RNAcentral lists this long non-coding RNA (856 nucleotides) under Cyanistes caeruleus (blue tit). RNAcentral's name for it is "lncRNA (ENSCCEG00000006184.1)". The record is from RNAcentral. Lineage: Eukaryota; Metazoa; Chordata; Aves; Passeriformes; Paridae.